AUCUUGCGCAAUGGGCGAAAGCCUGACGCAGCAAUUCCGCGUGGGGGACGAAGGCCCUAGGGUUGUAAACCCCUUUUGCGAGGGAAGAAGUUCUGACGGUACCUCGCGAAUAAGCACCGGCUAACUACGUGCCAGCAGCCGCGGUAAUACGUAGGGUGCAAGCGUUGUCCGGAUUUAUUGGGCGUAAAGAGCCCGCAGGCGGCUCAGCAAGGUUCAGGUGAAAUCUCCCGGCUCAACUGGGAGGGGUCCUGGAAAACUGUUGAGCUAGAGGCAGGGAGAGGGAUGUGGAAUUCCCGGUGUAGUGGUGAAAUGCGUAGAUAUCGGGAGGAACACCAGUGGCGAAGGCGGCAUCCUGGCCCUGUCCUGACGCUCAGGGGCGAAAGCGUGGGGAGCAAACCGG
Molecule: ribosomal RNA, 400 nt
Filed under: uncultured bacterium
Lineage: Bacteria
Description: bacterial SSU rRNA
Rfam family: Bacterial small subunit ribosomal RNA
Source: RNAcentral